UAGCCUUUUUAUUGGCCCUUAGCAAGCUUACACAUGCAAGCAUCCCCGCCCCAGUGAGAAUGCCCUCUAUAUCGCUACUCCGAUCAAAAGGAGCAGACAUUAAGUUCACUAAUAAGUAGCUCACAACGUCUUGCUCUACCACACCCCCACGGGACACAGCAGUGAUUAAAUUUAAGCCAUAAACGAAAGUUUGACUAAGCUAUGCUACAAGCAGGGUUGGUAAAUUUCGUGCCAGCCACCGCGGUCAUACGAUUAACCCUAGUCAAUAAAACUCGGCGUAAAGCGUGAUUAAGGGUACUUCUUUCAAUAAGACUAAGCUUAGGCUAAGCUGUAAAAAGCCCUAGCCAUAAUAAAACUAUUACACGAAAGUAGUCUUAACACUCCUGAGUUCACGAUAGCUAAGAUCCAAACUGGGAUUAGAUACCCCACUAUGCUUAGCCCUAAACACAAAUGCUUAACUAACAAAAUUGUUCGCCAGAGAACUACUAGCAAUUGCCUAAAACUCAAAGGACUUGGCGGUGCUUUAUAUCCCUCUAGAGGAGCCUGUUCUAUAAUCGAUAAACCCCGCUAUACCUCACCACCUUUUGCAAUAUCAGCCUAUAUACCGCCAUCUUCAGCAAACCCUAACAAGGCCACACAGUAAGCACAAAAAUACUGCAUAAAAACGUUAGGUCAAGGUGUAGCCUAUAAGGUGGAAAGAAAUGGGCUACAUUUUCUACCCCCCCUAGAACAAUAAAUCAACAACAGCUUCUAUGAAACUUUAAGCCUAAAGGCGGAUUUAGUAGUAAGCUGGGAAUAGAGAGCCUAGCUGAUUGG
Molecule: non-coding RNA, 816 nt
Filed under: Petaurista philippensis (Indian giant flying squirrel)
Lineage: Eukaryota; Metazoa; Chordata; Mammalia; Rodentia; Sciuridae
Source: RNAcentral